UAGCGAUUUAGAUCAGAUGACUGAAAAGUGGCUAGACUUGGGUGCAUAGAAACCCAGUUUCUGGACAUGGAGUGGGCAGUCUGACAUUGGUUGUCACAAGUCCCUGCUUCAGUCUCUCUGCAUCUUCCAACAGUCAGACAUUCAGGAAAUUUCUCAUUUGAGGCUGCACUCAUAUUUACCAUGUUGUUCAGUACCUACUAAUGGAUCUUUCCUCCAGGAUUUUAACUGAGGUUUAUAAUACACUGUGUAUCAAGAAGCAUCGUUGUGACUGACAUUAAGAAUAAGCUUCAAAUUUAUAUUUGUGUUACAAUGAUUCUCUCAUGAAGCCUAACUGGGUAAUAUUGGGAAGACAUUUAGCAGAUGUUAACUGUCAAAUCAGAGAAGACGAUGUGACGUUGAUAGUCUAUCCUUUUUUCAGACACACCAAGUCUUAGUUGAAAACUUACUUUGAUAUAUUUAUAUCUUUUGAAUGUACGUCUGAUAUUCCGAUCAUAUUAUUUCCAUGUAAACAAAAUUGUAAUUAAAAAUUAAAAAACCCUUAAAUUCCUC
This is a long non-coding RNA of Alligator sinensis (Chinese alligator), 549 nucleotides long. RefSeq lists it as uncharacterized. The transcript has 3 exons. The record is from RefSeq and is a predicted model, not a curated record. Lineage: Eukaryota; Metazoa; Chordata; Crocodylia; Alligatoridae.